RNAcentral lists this long non-coding RNA (2604 nucleotides) under Homo sapiens (human). RNAcentral describes it as "non-protein coding LINC00987:1". The record is from RNAcentral. Lineage: Eukaryota; Metazoa; Chordata; Mammalia; Primates; Hominidae.
UUUUUUGCCGUCUGGUCAUCCUCGUCGGUCUUCUGCUUCUGGGUAUCGACAUCGUUAUCCUCAUCAUCUUCAGCUGCCCGCUUGCCCGUAGCUGACUCAGCUCCCUCAUCUUCAUCUCCAUCCUCUUCCUCACCAUCACCUUCUUCCUCCCCACCUUCUUCCUCUUCUUCAUCUACCUCGUUGUCAGCCUCCGGCUCCCCAUUUUCCUCAUUAGCAUUCCCGUGAGCAGGGGCGUCUCUUCCAUUUUCCGCCUCUUCCACAACUUCCUUCUUCUCCUUUAAGUCCUCGGUGGUGAUUUCGGAGCUGGUGUCUACGGCUGCGUCUGACAUGGUGGGGCACGCCGGUGACGCGAUGCAGGGGAUAAAAAAGAAAGCGACAGUUCAGGGACUCUGGCGAUAAAGCUGCCGGAGUCCGCGGCGGCGGAGGCGGCUGCGGCGAGCAAGGAGGCUGACGACGCACAAUGCAAAGACGGCUUUUCAGAGCAGCCAGUGGGGCAGGACAAUGUUUUUCAUCAAAUGUCCUUAGAUUUGGAGGAGGGCGAUAAAGCUGCCGGAGUCCGCGGCGGCGGAGGCGGCUGCGGCGAGCAAGGAGGCUGACGACGCACAAUGCAAAGACGGCUUUUCAGAGCAGCCAGUGGGGCAGGACAAUGUUUUUCAUCAAAUGUCCUUAGAUUUGGAGGAGGUUUCCCCAGUGUAUCCAGUGGUUGUCUUCCUCUUGAUUAAUAUUAAAGGAGGAGAAAAAGUGUGUAUUGGGGUCAGUGCAGAAAACAAAUCAUCCAAGCACACGAAGUGGAAUUUGCUAAUAGCAUUACUACUCACCCAGUGACUUCGGAGUCACAACCCAGGACACGGUUUUCCGCCCAUUUCUACAGACACAGUGAGAUUCUUCAUUCUUCUCUGUUGGAACAGCCAGGAAAGCGGAAGAGACCUCCAGCUGCACAACGACCUGUCCCCCACACCCAACCACAAGUUUAUGAAGGGAUGCAGAACAGCAUGAAUACUGCAAAAGAUGCUCUGUGCAUCAGGUAAAUGGACUGAGGGACAAUGUCCAUGAGUCCAGAGGCGCUGAGAAGCUGUGCAAAUAUGGUCAGCUCUAUCAGACACUUUGUAGUUUAGGUGUUUGAAACAAGAAAAUUGAAAAACUGACAGGAAUUAGGAUAAGUGUUUAGGAUUUAGCCUUGUGCCAACAGAAGAAAGAGGUGUUUAGUGAAAAACAUGAAACAAUCAGGUGGACAUAAUGUCUGAAUUUAGGAAUACACAGAUAUAGGAGCCUGAAUGAAUAUAACCUUACCACCUUGGGCCUGUCAGGUACCUUUUCUCUUAGUACCAGGUCUGCUCCAAAAUUAGGAUAUAUCAUAUGCAGUUCUGAUUUCCUGGGUUACCUAGGAGACCUGGUAAUGAAUGGUGACUAUCUUCUAUUCUCAUUCACUUCCAGAGAAGUGUCCUUACCCGAAUGCAGGUGGACAAGCAGUUAAACACAGUGGCUUUGAGUGUGAAGGCUUCUCCUCGCACCACAGAAUAAGGAAGGGUGAGUUCUAGGAAGAAAGGCUGGAAGGCUUGAAGAGACACGAUAGGAGAGAGGCCAAACCCUGUGGUUCCAGACAAGCAGAAUGCGCUGGCCUUCCACUCUGUGAUGGUUUCAGGGACCUGGUCACCAGCUCACUUAUACCUAAUGAGCUAGUGAAGGAGCAGAGAAGAGGAGUAUAAGCAAAUCUUUUUUUUUUUUUUUUAACACAAAGCAUGGCUGAUCCUAGAACAUGAUAACUCAGUAACCUAGUGUGGUAAAUGCUAAACUUGAUCUAAGGGUUGGUGCUCCUGGUGAGGUUUAAAGUUUUUUUUCUCCCUACCUCCCUUACUCCCUCCUUCCCUCCCUCCCUUUAUUUCUUCCUCUUUUCUUUCAUUCUUUCCUUCCUUUUGUUCUUUCUUUCAAUCUCCCUCCCCUCCCCUUCCCUUUCCUUUAUUUAAGAGGGCUGGUAGCAUCCUACUUUCUAUUAUCUUAGUUAUCAAUAGACUAAAUUAGAAAAAAAAUUAGCAUUGUUUAAUUAUGAGAUAAAUGAACUAUAAACCUAAAUAUUUACCAGAAAAGAGCAGAGCAGAACUAAAAGGAUCAGGAAUCCAGGAUAACAUCAGUCAUACAGCAGGAUUCAAACCCUCUCCUAAACUAAAUUCCAGGCAACACACAACUUACUCAACUACCACCAAAUCCCAGAUCCAGGUCUCAGGGAAGUACUUCCGGACUAUCUCUUUCACUUGCAAUAUCUGAGGUUCUUCUUCGAUCAUUGGGUACAUUAUUUCUACGGCUCCUGGGGGUACACCUCGCAGACCUGGUCCUGGAAGACAACACACAGGCCUCAGUGUGAACCUCAUUUUUAUCAUCAAUUUCUUAUUGCUGCCUUAUUUCUCAAAUGGAAUAAGGUCAUACGCUCAGGGAAUGUUUAUUAUUGGAACAAUUUAACCUACCAGCUUGUUAUUUUGUUCACUUUCCUAUAAAAAGGCUAAUCCUAUUUUUUCUUCAAAUAGAAUCUAGAGCUAAAUAUAUUUUUCUUUAUAAAUAAAAACAAAUGACCUGUACAUGUACCUCCUGAAUCUAAAAUAAAAGUUGAUU